UACAGAGGGGGCGAGCGUUGUUCGGAAUUACUGGGCGUAAAGGGCGCGUAGGCGGCCUUCUAAGUCGAACGUGAAAUCCCCGGGCUCAACCCGGGAACUGCGUCCGAUACUGGGAGGCUUGAAUCCGGGAGAGGGAUGUGGAAUUCCAGGUGUAGCGGUGAAAUGCGUAGAUAUCUGGAGGAACACCGGUGGCGAAGGCGGCAUCCUGGACCGGUAUUGACGCUGACGGCGCGAAAGCCAGGGGAGCAAAGCGGGAUUAGAAACCCCGAG
This 270-nucleotide ribosomal RNA is filed under the name uncultured bacterium. RNAcentral describes it as "partial 16S ribosomal RNA". It matches the Rfam family "Bacterial small subunit ribosomal RNA", at positions 524 to 791 of the family's 1533-position model. The record is from RNAcentral.